Podarcis lilfordi (Lilford's wall lizard) is the source of this 10830-nucleotide non-coding RNA. Lineage: Eukaryota; Metazoa; Chordata; Lepidosauria; Squamata; Lacertidae. The record is from the annotation of a GenBank genome assembly.
GGGGCCACGCCCAUAACCGCUCUUUUCCCUCAGCAAGCGCGGCCUCCAGUUUCUCUUGAGGGGAAGACUUGGCUAUGGAUAAACGGUACGCCAUGAAAUUACAUCCCUGCUGCCCCUUCGCUAGUUAGUUUAGGGUUGCUGGGAAUUGUAGCCCAGAUUUUUCGGAUGGGGAGGGAAAUGUCCCUCCCAUAUGUUUUAAAAUUUCAAAUUCCGCAAAUAACAGAUGUAUGGUGUGUAUACGAGCCUCUGGUGUGUUGCCACUGUGGGAGAUUUUGCCUUUUCCUCACCUGUUUUAAGGUCCUUGUUUUUCACGGCUGGACUUUAAAAAUAUAUAUUCGGGGUGGGGAUGGAAAUUGACCAACAAUUAAAGGGAAAUUUAAGAGGAAAAUCCUCUGAAAAACUAAAAAUAUUUUUGCUGAUACAUUUAUGCCAGUUCUUGCGUAAGCAAGGAAGAUCUGCACCUCUGACUUGAAUAAGGAACUGGAAACAGCAAAUAAGGAACUCGAACAACAAUUUCCCUAAAAUUUGACAAGUCUUUCAAGACAGAAGUCUGGGAUUCAUGUGUUAAACAUAUGAUAAAUGUAUACCAUGAAAUAUAAUAUUUUAAGCCAGAAGGUUGUCAGUUGCACCCUGAAUUUCCUUUCUUUCUCAUCUGUUCUUCAGAACAGAGUACCUAGUAGCUAGGUUGCUGAAAUGUGAAAUUAAGAUUUUCUGUAUUGUUUUUAUAUCAUCAUAGCUCCACAGAACUGCCUGACCAUCCAUUCUCAAUUAGCUGCCCACAGGAGAGUUACACUGGAUUUAUUGUGCUUUUUAUACACUCACAUAAACUACAUGUAAGGUUGAGUAGCAGGAAAUUUGAUCUUGCAAGUACCAAGUGGAUGAUGAGUUAUUUCUGUUUGGUUUAGUACCUGGAGUGAAGCCAUAAUGCAACUUCAUGCUAAGCAUGCCAUCAUCUUCCCCAGUCUCUCUGAUUAUUCUUAAGAACCAGGAGAACUGGGGCAGCUUAAACCUUCUCAUUGAGAAUUAUAGAAUUGUAGAGUUAAAAGGGACCAUAAGGGUCAUCUAGUCCAACCCCCUGCAAUGAAGGAAUCUUUUACCUAACAUGGGGCUGAAACCCACGACCCUGAGUUUUAAGAGUUUCAUGCUCUACCACCUGAACUGUUUUCAUAUUUAUCUGGGUCCUCGUAACCACAAUCAACAUCUGCAAUAAAAUUUAAUCAUUUUAAAUAAUGAAACUAAUACAGUGGUACCUUGGUUCUCAAACUUAAUCCAUUCUGGAAGUCUGUUUCAAAACCAAAGCGUUCCAAAACCAAGGUGCACUUUUCCAUAGAAAGCAUGUAAUGUAAAACAAAAAAGUUUGAAAACCUACUUCCGGUUUUUCAGCGUUUGGGUUCCAAGUUCGUGAACUAAGCUAUUCAAAAACCAAGGUACCACUGUAAUUACUUUGAUUUCUAGCUCAUUUAAAUGUUCAACUAAUUGUGUAAAUGAUGUUCACUGAUUUUACUAGAAUUGAACCUAUUUGUACCUAAGACAGGUAAAUUUCAGGUUUGGAAUGGAGAAAGCUUGAGAAAAGUUCCAAUGAUUUUCUGAAAUUUGUAAUAAACUGUAUUUUGUAGUAAUUACUUGCUGUAUUGUUCUGAAAAGGAGAAAUAGAUAAAAUAAGUGAAAUAAGAUUUGCCUUCCAUUCUACAGAUGCAGAUGAUUAAAAAUACAUUACCACAACAUGUAGUUUCAGAGUUGAAUCCUAAUAUGCUAGGUCACUAGGAAAGAACAGGGCUAAUGCCACAUAUUUUUUCUGAAAUACCAUAUGAGGUUUUCCAUUAUCUCAUCUACUAUUUUAAAAUACACCUUGUAAUACUUGCCUUUGCUUUUCCCUGAAGUUACUAUGCAAUUCAAGAGUGUCAGGAUGGUGAAGUUUUUACUUCACAGCUCUUGUUAAAUACCUUUUACCAAGACUUUUAAAAUAGGGUUUACACAAUAGGGUUCGUGUGUGUGUGUGUGUGUGUGUGUGUGUGUGUGUUUUCUCCCUUCCAUCUCAAGACAAAUUGUAUAUCAAUAAAGUAGAAUGGCUCAAAACCCCAGAAUACUUGCUUGAAAUUUAUUCUUUGAGCUAGAAAUAAAGUACCCAAUUCCUUUUUUCUUAUACAUUUUUGUACAGUAACACGUAAUACUGUAGUUUUACAUUUGGAUAGAAGCCCUAUAUAACAGAAGAGCAAGUGCCUCUUUAUUUUAACUUAAUACAGUAAUGCCUAGAUUAACUUGUUAAAAUUUUUUUGUUGAUGCAGCAGUGCUUAACUGAGUGUUAGGAACAGUGAACUGUCAAUGUUGUUUACACUGACCAGUUUUAAAGUCACUUUCUGUGUUUUGAACAGUACUCUACACUGAAGAGCAGAUGGCGCUGUUGCAUAUCUAUUGUCCAACAUCCAAUUUGAAGAGGUAGAACACCAUAGUUUUUAUAUAUAUAUAUAUAUAUAUAUAUAUAUAUAUAUAUUUAUAUUUAUAUAUUAUAAUGAACUAGGUGGCGUAACUAGAUGUAAUUAGGGUUGUGUGUGUUCAUCAGGAGCAGGGGUCAGCAACCUUUUUCAGCCGUGGGCUGGUCCACCGUCCCUCAGACCAUGUGGUGGGCCAGACUAUAUUUUGGAAAAAAAAUAUGAACAAAUUCCUAUGUCCCACAAAUAACCCAGAGAUGCAUUUUAAAUAAAAGCACACAUUCUACUUAUGUAAAAACACCAGGCAGGCCCCACAAAAAACCCAGAGAUGUAUUUUAAAUAAAAGGACACAUUCUACUCAUGUAAAAAUAUGCUGAUUCCUGGACUGUCUGCGGGCCGGAUUGAGAAGGCGAUUGGGCUGCAUUUGGCCUACAGACCUUAAGCUGCCUACCCCUGAUCAAGAGUCAUAGAGGCUCCUGAAUUUGGUUGAGAUUAUAAUGCUAGGAAAUUCUCCCACAAUUGCUACUUGCCCUAUGGAGGGAAACAUACAGAUGUUGUAUGGAUGCCUGUCCAUGGAAGACUCUGGUUAGAUCAGGAACAGCUUCAAACCCUGACUGUCCUUUAAAAGCAGGCCAGUUAUACACAGUAUGAAAAGUGAGUGAUAAGAUUUCCAAAGAGGAAUAUGUCUGGCCUCUUGGUGGCAUAUAAUGUAACAUUGAUAAACGUCUACCUGGAUUUCUCCAACUACUGUACACUGCUUCUGAUUUUUCCACAGUUCCAAAGUUCUCAAAGAAGUACUGUACAUUUGAAAACUUACUCAUAAAUAAGAAUAUUUUAAACAAUGCCCAUUCCAUACAAACUCAUGACAGAGACAGUUGAAAAACAGGAAAUUGGAGUUCAGUUUUCUGUGUUAUGCAUAUACAUAGUUACACUUUUAAAAUAGGGUGUCAAAACUGUGCUCCAGUUCAGGCCUUUCCUGAGAACAAACCCCAUGGAUUUGAUUGAAUACUGUACUGUGAAUAAACUUGCAUAGGACGGCACUGCAAGUGUGUGCUUCCAGCUACACUUGUGUUGUGGUAUGAAAAUAAUCCAAGCUUGGCAUGCCUGAAAGGACAACCACUGUCAAACUUUAUACUAACACUUCUCCCCAGUACAAAAAAAAGUAUCCAAGACAUUUCCAUUUUGUUUACAGCAUUUACAUAAAUGAUAUUCAGUUGGAAUCUCUUGGGGAGCAAAGUGUACUUCAGUAUAAACCUUUAAAGGCCAAAAUGUAAAACAGAAGGUGGAGACGGGCAGCCUUGUUAGGAAUUGUUUCGCUCUCUGCAGGCCACCGCUGAACCAUUUCAAGGUUGUGUGCUUUUUAAAGUAUGCAGAUGUCUGCAUGUCACACAACAGAUAUUGUAAAGACCUUUAUUUAGCUACCUUUCCUACCACAGUCAGCAGCAACUGCAACAGAGCUUUAAGGAAAAACAAUAUUUUAAAAGUGUUCUUCAGAAUGGUCUCCUGUAGCUACAAUAAUUACCCAGUCCAGGUGUGAUUUUCAACAGUGGUCUUCAACCUUGAUUAAUCCCAACCAUGGGACAUAGGACUCAGUUUAUUUUCUGCUUAUGUCCAUUUUUCUCCUAUUAUGUCUGACGUAAGGGACAACUGCAUAUUCCUGCAUUUACAGAUGUUUCUCAGGGUCCCUUCUAACUCAAUGAUUCUAUGAUAUCCAGAUGCAAAGGAGGACAACAGAGUGCCUUCACCUUUUACAUUGUGUAGGGGCAGCUUCCCAUACAGAGGGAGAAAAGAUGAACCUUCCAAUAUCCAAUUUGCCACAAAUCUGAAAUACAUAUGCUACUUUGCAAUGCUAUACUUCCAUGUUGUUGUUUUAAGCUGUACAACAAAAAGAAAGUGGUGGUGAUGCUAGCCAAGGUCUUAGAGUUACCCACUUGUGGAUCCUGACCUACUAUGAGUCUAAGAAAGAACUUAGUUAUGUUUAAUAGAGGAGUGGAUGUGAAGAGAUGGACACAAUUUUUCAUAUGUAGUGGGAAUGUGACGUGAUAGUAUGGUUCUGGUGAAAGUUUUUAAGGAAUGUGAGACAUUAAUUGGACAAACUAUAGCAAGAUGCACAUUUAGAUCUGCUGUCUAUUUUUGAUGGAAAUAGAUUGUACAAAGAACAAUUAACAUUUAAGCAUGUCUUCAGAUAGCAAGAAACUGAAAAAGCAGGGCUGGCAUAUCUACUGAAUGGUGGCAUCAACAAAUCUGGAAUAUAGCCUUAUCGGGAAAACUAAUCAAAUAUGGGCAACAAAAACUCAAACAGAGCCAAGCACCUUUUUUGCAACAUUGUAGGAUUUUAUUUGACUUUAUAAAUAAACAAAAGUGAUGGUUAGAUUCAUUCCCCAUCCAUACAUGGAAAUCUCUGGAGGAAUACUUUAGGAUAAUUCUUGUUUUAUUUUGCUUUGAACUUAUGUUCUCCAACACAGCAGUGUAACAAUGUGCUUCUACAUUUACUGUGUCUGUUAUAGAAAUAGAGAGAGAGGGGUUUUUUUAACAAACAAACAAACAAACAAAAAACUGUUGGAUCUACCCCUCACCCAUCAUUUCCAGUUUUCUAGUUAGUUUUAGUGAAGCAAAACACUUAUAUAAACUGCAUUCUAAUAUUAUUUACCCACAUAAUGGUAUAAAAAUGAAUAAUUAACAAGAGGAGAAGCCGUCUCUGCUGGGGCACUUGCUAUGGCUAUAUGAGGUCCCAGCUGUGAGAGCCAUACUGGGAAAGAAAUUUACCAGAAGCCAUGAAAAGCUAGAUUGGAGAUUCAUUGAGCGGAUUAGACUGUAAAUUUGAUUUGGUCCAACAUAAAUCCUUAUAUAACAUCCCUGCAUAGAAUAUAUUAAAAUGACAAUUUCAUUUUUAGUGGCCCCAAUCCAAAAAAGUCAUGUGCAAGAAAGUGUGAUGUGCAAAUAACUAAAGUCUGGCACAGCAGAUGGAAAGGCUCAUUCCUAUUUACAAUACAAAAGAGAAUGGACAGUAAAGCACAUGCGACAUACAUGCAGAUUUGAUGGUUCCUGGCUGUGCUUGUGCCAUGGGAGCCGAUGAAACAUCUAUGACUGUGGCACUACAAUCCUAUUUUGAGGACUGGGCUGCCAGCUUGUUAUUAAAUGGGAUACUCUGUGUACAUGUACUUUUGGAAAUGUGUUAAUUGUCCUUGCUUGGAUCUUUGUGGUGCUAAAUUAACCUGGGACCUUUAGAGAAGCUCUGGGACAACAGGUGCAAGUUCCUUAAAUGAAAUGGCCCCAAGGACAAGGUCCAAACAUAGUACUUAUUUCACACCAAUCCACAAACUAAAGAUAAUAAUUAAACUAUCUUGUUUAAUCAGCAUUUUAUUUAUUUAAAUAAUUUAUAUCCCUCCUCUCAUAAAAAGCUCAAGGCAACAUUAAACAGCGGACUGCAGAAUCAAAGAGAUCCUGGUGAACUGCUGCCAUCCCUGUUUCUGCAUACUUGCUGUAGGAGUGGAAUACCAAGUGCCAGUAUUGCAUAGGGUGUCGAACUUCAGAAUGAGUAAAUCUAGGCUGAAAUCUCCACUUGGUAAGUUACUGGGUCUAGGACACCCAAGCUUGUUGAGUGUCCUAGACCCAGUAACUCUCAGCUUAACCUGCUUCACAGAGUUGUGUCAAUUAGGGGUGUGUCAUUUAUGUCAUCCUGAGCUCUUUGAAGAAACAGAAAGGUAAACGUGUAAUAAGUAAUGAUAGUACAUCAUAGUGUUGCACAGUUGGUUGAGUUGUGAGCCUGAAUCUUGACUAAUUUCAGGAUGAAUACUGGCUGUUGUCUAAGAAGGAAUCACUUCCACUCCUCUGCUUAAAAACAAAUCCGGACUAUUUUCAAUGGCUUAAACAGCUGGCACUUUCAGACCUCUGCUUUUAACUUUUUGGACCCUGUUUUCUUCUUUUGGACACUGCUCUCUGUAUAAAUGCUGAUGGAGUCACUGGCCACAAAAACAUUGUUGUUUAAGAACUUCAGCCCUGAAGAAGCAGAGACAUACUGGCUCCAGGCUGAGGGACAGAGAUCUGACAGAGAGGUGCAUAGUUAGCAUUUAAUAUAUGUAAGACAUUAACAUGCUCAAUUUGCUUAACAACAGAGCUGGCACAGGAACAUUUUGCAUAUAGGCAAGUUACACCUUAAUAGAGAUUGCUUUGCUGAGCUGAAACAGUUUUGUAAAAUGAUAUGAGUGAAUAAUUCAACAGAGCUGCAAAACUGAACUGUGGAAUGCUAUUGAACUCCCAAGGUUAUACAAAUGAUAAUAUUUAAGCACAUUGUUACUGAAAUUCCCCUCUCCACUCCUCAUUUAAAAUAGGACAUUCUCUGAUUGCUUCCAGAUGAACUGUUUAUUAAGCAGUUAUCUUGAUUUGUUUACACAAAGGGUUUUCGUUUUUUGGUGGGGGGAGUAGAUGAUGGCAACUAUUUACUGAGUAUUCACUGUUAUUUGUUUACAGAGAGUUGAUAUAUCAUUGCAUCAAGCAGUUCUUAUGACACACUUUCUGGGCAUUCCCCCCUCACUUUUCUUAUUGCAAAGAGCCUAGGGUUGCAGAAAAGUGGGUUUGUUGUGCAAGAGUUACAAAUCAAAUUUAAUGACACCACCUGAAUUUGCUGGUGACUUAAUGCCACUCAAAAAUAGCAACAGCCUGGACACGCCCUUUACACCAGCUGCUUUAUUUACUUGUGUAAACAACUAGCUAGUUUAGUUGGUUGCAUCUCAUCCCGAAUCUUGUCCCUGAUUAGGAAAUUAGUUCUGGAUUUCUUCAAGUGAAAGUUAAUAGUCCUUCGAAAUAAGUGUUGGGUCAGUCCAUCAACCUCUGGUGGAUGAUUUAGAAGGAUUGGUUCUAGCAUCACUUUCGCUGUGUGUGUGUGCCAGUUAUCCAUACUCAGCAGUUACAUCUCAAUGCAGCUCCUUCCUUGGAAUUGUCUUCGGGGUUGAAGGUACACACAGUAGGCAAUAAAUACUCAUGGACGCCAUAAAGAUUCAGUCAAGUGUAGAGGUUUACUUGACAGGCAUAAAAGCAUAUCAGUAGCAAAUAUAUAUACAGACAUUCACCACUGCCAUGGUCAAGGCAUGCUUAGAGUUCAACAAGGGUCCAAGCCUCUCUCUCUGCUCUCACCACAAGAUGCAAGCCAGAGACUCACAACAAAUUACACAAGUUACACAGAACCAUUGCUAUCAGUACUUCCUGUCACAUUGCACAUGUCCAUAGAACAGUUCCCACAGAAAAUGUCCUUGCAUAGACAAAACAGUCUCAGCCUUCUGCUGCUUCUUGAAACUUCUCUGUUCUUCUCUGUUUCUGGAACAAAUGAUUCUCACACACAGAGAAUAUCUAACAAGAAGAACUGACAUCAACCACAGCACUCUUCAUCUUUGUUCACCCAAACAUAAUGGAUGUCCUUGGGCUUAAUUGUUUCCCCACUAUUCCUCCCCUGCUGAAGGACAUACCUAUUUACAAUUUAAGGUACAUCUACCUAUGCCAAAAUCCAAUACACCUUUUGUUUCUUUGUGGUUGUUGUGUUCAGUUAUCCGCUUCUUUGCUAAUUCAUGGAGAUGCUCCAAGGUCACAUUCUAUUUAUUUGUUUGGUGCACCCACAGGUUGGUAGGUAGGGAUGGGGAAUAAAUUCAAUUUAGUUCACAUUCAAAGACAAAUCUGGUAAUUUGCACUUUCCAAAACAAAAUGAGACCCAAAAUGCAUCCAUCCUUCAAAAUUGGCACUUCUCUGAGUUUUGCAAUGCAGUUUUUCAGCCAAGUAAUAUGUACAAAAAUGCACAGACUAGGAUAAAAUGUACAUAAAAAAUCAAAUGUUAAUGAAUAUAAUAUACAAAAGUGCAGUAUGUUUAGGGAAAUUGCUUUCUAAAGAUGCCUAUCAGGAGAAAUUUGCACUAAAAUGCUUAUGAAUUUUAAUGAGGACUUUUCUUUUUUAAUGCAGACAUGUGGAAAUGUGGAGAACUGAACUUAAAACUGGAAAAUUGAGAAACUGAAAUUGACAGAUUCAUCCAUCACUGUUGGUAGAGCACACAAGCAGCUGUUCUUAUGUUUUCUUUUCAUCCAUUAAGUCAAAAAACAACAAAAAAACACUUAAAUUUUGGGGUGAAAAAGUGCACAGCAAACACUCAAAAGGGAACUUCGGUGCUUCAGUGGAAAAUGAGGGCAAGCUAGAACUGGAACAAGAGACACCCAGUCAGAUGUAUCCUUAUUUGGUCCUCUCAUCUUUUAUGCUGUCAUUCCAAACAACAGGGCUGACAACUAACAAAAGGAUAUUUACUUGGUUAGUCUGCUGCCUUAUUUGAAUUUAAAUGAAGUUGCAUAUUACGAUAACUUCCAUAAAGGUGCCUUCUUGAGAUACUGUGAUCUUUAGCCAUGUGAUGCCGUAGCACUACUGAAGAUGAGCAGAUCUGGAUUUGGCCAGAGCCUGGAUGCGAGGCCUCCUGGGAACCCUGCAUACUCUGCUGCAAGCUUCAUGGAGAAAUGUCACAACUGAAGCUUGUUGGGGGGGUACUGCACUAAACACUGGUAUUUGUCAGGAAACUACAGAAUUGAUCUGGAUUAUGGCUAAUGUGGUGUGAAUGUGUCUUUAAAAAAUUAGCAGUGGGAGUGCACUGGAUGCAGAAUAAGCAGUAAUGUGAACAUAUCCUGAGCUACAAUGGUGCAGGGCAGGGGGAUGUAAUUGCCUUGAAGUUUUCUGAAUAUUUAGCUUUACAACUAUUAGUUACUGCGUUCCUUUCUAAACCUUGUGAAAAAAGAGAGUGCGAAGCUCACAAGGCAGUUUGCCCAAAGCAGAGUAAACUCUCUUGCCCAUGAAGCCUUUUUAAGUAUUACAGCUGUCCCUGGAACUCCUUGUCAAAGUUUGUUGUUCUGCAGCUAGCGUGCCUAUUUUUAUAUUCCCCUCCUGGGCUUAUGUCCUAAAAUCUCUGCAACAUGCUGAAGUCUAUGGGGAUUAUUAGUGGCAUAUGUAUUUUCAGGGUAAGAACUCCCAUGGACAUGGAAUAGGAGAACUCUGAUAAACUUUCAGAUAAGUCAUUCUGAUUUUUCAAACUAAAUACCCCCCUCCAGUUUCCUUUCUAUUACCUUGUUUAAAAUAAAUUGUAGGAAUUGGUUUAUCAUGUCAUUUUAUGGCCUAACAUUAGGGUUAUGCUGCCCCAACCAAAUUUUGCUUGACUAGAGUACUGAUUAAAAGUCCAGAAUUAUUGGUUAAUUCUUUCUUAGUGGAAGCCAAGGAUAGUAAGAAAUCUUAUGUUUCCAAAUAAGAGACACCCAUCAGAACUUGGGGAAGCACUUUCUCCCCACCACCACCCUGCCUCUUAGAGAGAGAGAGAGAGAGAGCGCUAAGAAAAGUAGCUGUGUGUAUGUGUGUGAGAGAGAAAUGUCUGAAGCAUUUUUGCCAGAAAAAGGCAAACAGCAAGCUGUGGACUGGUUGAAAGCACCCUUGAAGGUGCAAGUGCUCUCUCUGGAUAACUGAUAGAGCAGGUGUCACCAAAGUUGCACCUGUAGGCACAACAGUGCAUUUGAGAUUUCCCCCAGCUGCCCACAAAGCCGCAGCCCACAAAACUGGAAGGAAGAGACCAGAGGGAGUGGCACCCAUGGUACUUACUUAAAAAUCCAAAUGCGCCCACAGGUCUAAAGAGGUUGCUGAGCCCAAGACAUAGAAAAUUUGCUGCCUUGUAGAGGUGCUUCUUUGUUCUAAAAAGAAGUCUGAUGGAUCAGACCAAAGUUAGUCCAGCAGCAUCUUUCCAACAAUGGCCAGCCAGGUGCCUCCAGGAAAUACACCAGCAGGCCUUGAAAGCAACAGCCCCCUGUUGCUCCCCAAGGGCAAGGCAUACUACCUCUGAAUCUGGAGGUUCUUUAUAGAUUCCCAUGACAUAUAUACAGGCAUUGAUAGAUAAAACUUGGGGCCAUCACCCCAGUCUUAUGGCAGCAAGUUCCACAAAUUAUUAUUUAUACAAGUGUACUUAUAUACUAACGUAAAAUAUAUACCGUAUUUUUCGCCCCAUAGGGCGCACCGGCCCAUAAGGCAUACCUAGAUUUUGGGGGGGAAAUAAAGAAAAAAAAAUUAUUCCCCCCCCCCAAGGCACGAGGCUGGGGCAGGGGAAGCCCGUGCUUCCCCAGCCCCCAGAACAGGCUGCUCUCCGAAAGCCGUGGGAGCCCUCCCGCUCAGCGCGCCGGGCCUUCGCGAUAAGAGGCAGCUCUGCGCAAGCCGGGGAAGGGCUCCCGCAGCUUGCGCAGAGCUACCCGAAGCCCCGGCGCGACUGCUCAGCGCGCCGGGGCUUCGGGAUAAGAGGCAGCGCUGUGCAAGCCGGGGGAGGGCUCCCGCGGCUUGCGCAGAGCUACCCGAAGCCCCGGCGCGACUGCUCAGCACGCCGGGGCUUUGGGAUAAGAGGCAGUGC